CAACGUAGGUAAUCUACCUUCGGGUGGGGAAUAACCCAGGGAAACUUGGGCUAACACCGCAUAAUGCAGCGGCACCACAUGGUGACAGUUGUUAAAGCGGGGGAUUUUAGGACCUCGCGCCUGAAGAGGAGCCUGCGGCGGAUUAGCUAGUUGGUGAGGUAACGGCUCACCAAGGUAACGAUCCGUAGCCGGCCUGAGAGGGCGGUCGGCCACACUGACACUGACAUACGGGUCAG
This 236-nucleotide ribosomal RNA is filed under the name uncultured bacterium. RNAcentral describes it as "partial 16S ribosomal RNA". It matches the Rfam family "Bacterial small subunit ribosomal RNA", at positions 113 to 334 of the family's 1533-position model. The record is from RNAcentral.